GGCCAUACCACCCUGAACAUGCCCCAUCCUGUCUGAUCUCAGAAGCUAAGCAGGUGUUGGGCCUGAUGAGUACCUGAAUGGGAGACCGCGUGGGGAGUACCAAUUAAAAGAAGUCA
Molecule: ribosomal RNA, 116 nt
Filed under: Jaculus jaculus (lesser Egyptian jerboa)
Lineage: Eukaryota; Metazoa; Chordata; Mammalia; Rodentia; Dipodidae
Source: RNAcentral